RNAcentral lists this ribosomal RNA (1436 nucleotides) under Brevibacterium casei. Its description in RNAcentral is "bacterial SSU rRNA". It matches the Rfam family "Bacterial small subunit ribosomal RNA". The record is from RNAcentral. Lineage: Bacteria; Bacillati; Actinomycetota; Actinomycetes; Micrococcales; Brevibacteriaceae.
CCUGGCUCAGGACGAACGCUGGCUGCGUGCUUAACACAUGCAAGUCGAACGCUGAAGCCUAGGUCUUGCACCGGGUGGAUGAGUGGCGAACGGGUGAGUAACACGUGAGUAACCUGCCCCUGACUUCGGGAUAAGCCCGGGAAACUGGGUCUAAUACCGGAUACGACUGCCGGACGCAUGUCUGGUGGUGGGAAAGUUUUUUCGGUUGGGGAUGGGCUCGCGGCCUAUCAGUUUGUUGGUGAGGUAAUGGCUCACCAAGACGACGACGGGUAGCCGGCCUGAGAGGGCGACCGGCCACACUGGGACUGAGACACGGCCCAGACUCCUACGGGAGGCAGCAGUGGGGAAUAUUGCACAAUGGGGGAAACCCUGAUGCAGCGACGCAGCGUGCGGGAUGACGGCCUUCGGGUUGUAAACCGCUUUCAGCAGGGAAGAAGCGCAAGUGACGGUACCUGCAGAAGAAGUACCGGCUAACUACGUGCCAGCAGCCGCGGUAAUACGUAGGGUACGAGCGUUGUCCGGAAUUAUUGGGCGUAAAGAGCCUCGUAGGUGGUUGGUCCACGUUUGCUGUGGAAACGCAACGCUUAACGUUGCGCGUGCAGUGGGUACGGGCUGACUAGAGUGCAGUAGGGUGAGUCUGGAAUUCCUGGUGUAGCGGUGAAAUGCGCAGAUAUCAGGAGGAACACCGGUGGCGAAGGCGGGACUUUGGGCUGUAACUGACACUGAGGAGCGAAAGCAUGGGGAGCGAACAGGAUUAGAUACCCUGGUAGUCCAUGCGUAAACGUUGGGCACUAGGUGUGGGGGGCAUUCCCACGUUCUCCGCGCCGUAGCUAACGCAUUAAGUGCCCCGCCUGGGGAGUACGGUCGCAAGGCUAAAACUCAAAGGAAUUGACGGGGGCCCGCACAAGCGGCGGAGCAUGCGGAUUAAUUCGAUGCAACGCGAAGAACCUUACCAAGGCUUGACAUACACCGGACCGUCCUGGAAACAGGUCCUCUUCUUUGAAGCUGGUGUACAGGUGGUGCAUGGUUGUCGUCAGCUCGUGUCGUGAGAUGUUGGGUUAAGUCCCGCAACGAGCGCAACCCUCGUUCUAUGUUGCCAGCAUGUGAUGGUGGGAACUCAUAGGAGACUGCCGGGGUCAACUCGGAGGAAGGUGGGGAUGACGUCAAAUCAUCAUGCCCUUUAUGUCUUGGGCUUCACGCAUGCUACAAUGGCUGGUACAGAGAGAGGCGAACCCGUGAGGGCAAGCGAAUCCCUUAAAGCCAGUCUCAGUUCGGAUCGUAGUCUGCAAUUCGACUACGUGAAGUCGGAGUCGCUAGUAAUCGCAGAUCAGCAACGCUGCGGUGAAUACGUUCCCGGGCCUUGUACACACCGCCCGUCAAGUCACGAAAGUCGGUAACACCAGAAUCCGCCGGCCUAACUAAAGUCGAACCAAGGU